Molecule: ribosomal RNA, 193 nt
Filed under: Fasciola gigantica
Lineage: Eukaryota; Metazoa; Platyhelminthes; Trematoda; Plagiorchiida; Fasciolidae
Description: partial 28S ribosomal RNA
Rfam family: Eukaryotic large subunit ribosomal RNA
Source: RNAcentral
GGAAAAGAAACUAACCAGGAUUCCCUUAGUAACGGCGAGUGAACAGGGAAAAGCCCAGCACCGAAGCCUGUGGUCGUUUGGCCCCUAGGCAAUGUGGUGUUCAGGUUAGCUCGCGAAGAUGCUGCUCCACCCUAAGUCCUAUAAUGAGUAAGGUUACUCGGACAUGGCCCAAUGAGGGUGAAAGGCCCGUGGG